UUGCCAAACCUUUCACAUCCACCACAUUGCUUCUGCUUUGUUACUGCCGCACCACCCACACCCACAAAUAGGGAAGCUCUGCUUUCUACACUUCCACCACUAACAGGAGAGCUUUGGCAUCACUAAAGGAGUCGUCCAUCUGUCCUUUCAGCUCACCAACAACAAAAAAUUUCCUGCCUUUCUGCCUCUUUCUCCAAACCCCAUUUACACCAAAAGGAAAAAGAUGGUGGUUUAAUUUGGACAACCCAUCAGGCGCUGGUGGACUGAAGAUGCUCCGGCCUGUUAUCCUUCCACUGCAGAGAGGAGGUGGUGUUCGCUGCUCUGUGAAACCAGCCUGGCGCGGUGCCCUCCAAUCUAAGAGCCGAGACGCCUCCGCCUUCGCAGAGACUCCACAGCCCAACUCUCCACUUGGAACGGGCAGGCCAGUAGAUAGCAACCCCAGCCCAGCCUUCAAGGGAAAUAUCGAGGCCUUAGAGCCACUGUAGAGGUAAAUUGCGAGUCGCACAAUCACUCCAUUGGUCAAAUUCAAGUCUUCAUGUGCGCACAAGAGAUCCAAUCCAAAGCCCAGACCUUCUAACAUCCUUGAACUUUUUUCUCAUACAUACGGCUAGUGGGAUUGGAAUCCCCACACUAUCAUUAUGUUUUUUUAAAAUAUACUGCAUUUAUUCGAUCAAUUUAUGUUUGAUCCGGUUAAUAAAAAUUAGUUUAAAGUAUUUAUAUUUUAAUAUUACAAUAAUUAAACUUUUGGUGGUCAA
This is a long non-coding RNA of Ipomoea triloba (trilobed morning glory), 755 nucleotides long. RefSeq lists it as uncharacterized. The transcript is spliced from 2 exons. Lineage: Eukaryota; Viridiplantae; Streptophyta; Magnoliopsida; Solanales; Convolvulaceae. The record is from RefSeq and is a predicted model, not a curated record.